RNAcentral lists this long non-coding RNA (9211 nucleotides) under Homo sapiens (human). RNAcentral's name for it is "non-protein coding GAS1RR:18". Lineage: Eukaryota; Metazoa; Chordata; Mammalia; Primates; Hominidae. The record is from RNAcentral.
CUCCCCUUUCCGUGGAGAGACUAUCAACUCCAUCUGUCACAAAAAUUAAGGCUAAAUCUCCUCUCCAGAAGCAGAGGGAGCCGGGGCUCCGACGCGCUCAGCGUCGGGCUGUCUGCCUCUCCCUAGAGGCCAAGUGAAUUUGAAAUGGCAAAAGUCACAGCCGGAGGCCCAGCACUAGGAGAUUCCUCCGGCUGCGGGAAAUCUUCCUGUACCUGCUGAAGCUGCUGCGUUCCUCAGAGGCGCUUGGUCUGCCGUGGGAAGCUGCACCUCUGCAGUCCCCAAAACCAAAAUCAAACCUUAAAAGAGCCAGACUGAGAAGCCAGUCACCACGUAAGACAUCUGGACCACCUUCAGACUCGCAUGCUGUGAGGAAGCCCAUGCUUACUAUGUGUAGAGGAUACAUGGAGAAGGAAAGAGAUGCCUGGCCAGCUCCCUGCUGUUUCAGCCAUGUGAGUGAAGAAGGCACCAGACUUGUGAGUGGAGACACUAACUUGGAUGUCCAGCCCAGCUGAACCUUCAGGCAGAGGUGCUGAGCAGCUAAUUGGAGGGGAUAGUAUGAGCCUCCAAAGAUUAGGGAAGAAAAUUGCAGUUGAAGAAAACUUGCUUUGGUUCAAUGCAAAAAUAAUGGGAUGAAUGGCAUGCUGAAAUAUCAUAUGACUUACGAAAAUGAUGAAUGGUAAGACCAUUGUACAUCUUCCAUAAAAGCAGGCAUUUAAAGCAGACAUUGAGAACACUUGGUUCUAUGUUCAUCCCUUGCUGAUCUCUUUGCCCCAUGUAACGCUGUUUGUAUUCUGGUUUUGGUUACUCUGGAAUGGCCAGUGAUUCCCAAACUCAAUAAGAGGAGAAAUGAUGACAAGAAGCAAAGGCCGUCUACAGCCCUCACGUUAGGGAGAUCAUCCAGGAGGGCCCAACGUAAUCAGAAGCAACCUGAAAUGUGGAGGAAGAGGCAGAAGAACCAAAGUCCGAAGGAACAUGGUGAUGGAAGCAAGAUAGGAUGGAUGUCGUGUGAGGACUCAGCCUGCCACUGCUGGCCUUGAAGAUCGAGAAAGGGGAAGGAAUGCAGGAGUGUCAAGAAGCUGGAAAAGGUUUAUUGAAUCUACAUAUGUGGAACCCAUGAAUGGGAGUCGGAGAAGGGGGCAACUGUAUACGCAAAAAGCUAUCAUAAUUGCCAAAAUAGUGAUAACAAUGUUGAAACACUACUGGGAUUACUACUGUUAAUGACUACCAGUGAUCAAGCACCUCCCCUGCCCCAGUGUUUGCCUGCCUUGUUUGAAGACACGAAAAAAUGUACACAAAAUGAUUUAGAACUGUUGAACUUUUCAGAAAAUAAUUUAAAAUCAUCUACCUCAUAACUAAAGGACACUGAAUUGGAGCCAGCUGAUGUAAGGAGCUUACCUUGGUUGCCACCUUCUGGUCUCUGUUUGAGGAACAACUGCAUGUGAUUAAGGAUGAAGAAACUGAGACCCCAAGAAUUUAAGUAAUUUGUUCAAGGCAACACACUGCUAUGUGGUAGAACUACAAAUUGAGCCCAAAUAAUCCAGCUUCAGAUACUAUGCAAAGGUAUCCUAGGUGUGGGGGUGAUAACCUGGUGACAAUCCCUUCUCAGAAGGAAAACAGGUCCCAUCUACAGAGGUGAAGCAGAGUGUGGAACUGAAAAACUCAAUGGAAGAAUGGCUAUUAAGAUUUAGGACGGCUGGGAAAUAAUAAAGUAAUAAUAAUAAUACUAGGUAUUGACGUGUGCUACAUGCCAGGCCUUGGGUGACAUUUGGAUUGAUUCCCAUUUUCUUUACUUUUCAGCAGUGGGGUCUUUCACCUUUCAAGCUCUGCCUGAGAAGUCAACAUGGUGGCAUUUGGCUAGGUUCUUUUAGGCAACCAAUUGUUUUAACAUGAUUUGUUGAAAAGCCUAUUCUCUCUUUCAUUGAACUAUAAUGCUAGCUCUGUCAUAAAUCAAAUUUUCAUUUGAUUUAUGAUAUGAAAAUUAUAUGCAUUUGAUUGAUAUGCAUUUUUUCUCCAAUGAUACUCAACUGUCUUAAUUAUAUAAUUUUGUAGUAAUUCUUGGUAUCUAAUUAGGCAAAUACCCACUCCCAACCCUGUUUCUUUUGUUUUUAAAUCCAGGGGUGUUUUGGAUAUUCUCGUUCAUUUGUGCUUCCACCUACAUUUUUCAGUUAACUUGUCAGGUACGAAAAAAUAAAAGGCAAAAUUUUUUAUCCUUAAAUCAAUUUGGGCAAGUUUGCAGUUUUUUCUUGUAUUGUAACUUCCAAUCUAUGAAUAUGAUCUAUUUUUUCACCAAUUUAUGGCUUCUUCCAAUAACAUUUUAUAAUUGUCUUUUUAGAGGCCUUAUCUUUUGUUUAGAUUCAUAUCUAGGUAUUUAAUAUUUUUGAUGCUGUUAUAAAUGGUAUUUUUAAAAAUAUAUACAUUUUUAACUAUUUCACAUAGAAAACUUUAAUGGAUUUUUAAAAUGUAGAUUUGUAUUCAGUAAACCUGUUAAAAUCUCUUAGAAUGUCUAAGAGUUUAUUUAUUCAAUUUGAUUUUCUUUUUUUUUUUUUCUCCUGGAGACGGAGUUUCGCUCUUGUUGCCCAGGCUGGAGUGCAGUGGCAUGAUCUCAGCUCACUGCAACCUCCGGCUCCCGGGUUCAAGCAAUUCUCCUGUCUCAGCCUCCUGAGUAGCUGGGAUUACAGGCUCCCACCACCAUGCCCAGCUAAUUUUUGGUAUUUUUAGUAGAGACAGAGUUUCACCAUGUUGGCCAGGCUGGUCUCAAACUCCUGACCUCAGGUGAUCCGACUGCUUUGGCUUCCCAAACUGCUGGCAUUACAGGCGUGAGCCACUGCGCCCUGGCCUAUUCUACUGGAUUUUCUAUGCAAUUGUGUUAUAACUCAUCAUAAAGAUAAUUUUAUUUCUUUUCCACAAUCUUUACAGGUUUAAUUUUUUUCUAUGCCUUGCUGCACUCUCUAUGAUUUCCAGUAUUGGCACUACUCUGGCCUUUGGUCUUUGCUCUUGCAUCAGCCUUUCAUAAUUGGGUAUGUUUGUUGUAAGUUUUCUGUAGAGAGUCUUUAUGAGGUUAAGAGAUUUGUUUCAUUUCUAGUUUAUUAAGAGAUUUUAUUAUAGAUCAAUGUUAAAUUUUAUCAAAAUUUCUCCAUUGCAUUUCUAUUGAGAUGAUCACAUGAUUAUUAAAAAUUAGUAUAAAGAUUUAUUAUUUUGAUAUUUUAAAAUCAGGUUUAUUGAGGCAUAAUUUAUAUAUAAUAAAAUUUACCCUAUUAGAGUAUCCAGUCCAGUAAGUUUUGGUAAAUGUAUGCGAAUAACACAAUAAACAGGUUUAGAACUUUUCCAUCACCACAAAAAGUUUAUCAGGCCCCUUUGCAGUUAAUACUCACCUUCUCUCCAGCCCCAGUAAACCAUGGAUCUGCUUUUUGUUACUGUAGUUUUUCCUUUACUUUGAUUUUUUUGAGUGUUAAGCCAGCCUUACAUUUCUGAGUUAACUUGGUCAUGAUAUCUUCUACAAACAUUAAUGAAUUUAGUAUGAUUGGCUGAUGCCUUUGCUUUCCUAUACUGUCCUUGCCUGGUUGGUACAAGGAUUAUAUAAUACUUAUAAAGUGAGUUGAAGACAGUUUCCUCUUUUCACCAGCUGGAAUAAUUUAUGUAUUAUUGAAAUUAAUUGCUCCUUAAAUACUUGGCAGAAUUCACUACAAAGGCACUUAAUUCUAGACCUUUUGGAGGAAGAUAAAAUACUGAUUUUUUAAAUCAUUAUUUUAUUUUUGUAAUACAGCUUAUUUUUCCAGAAACUUCUACUUUUCGUUUACAUCUUCAAGUCAGAUUAAAGUUGUAUUAAUAACCCCUUAUUAUUUAAAUCUCAGCAGAAUGUGAAGUUAUGUUCCCCCUUUGUAUCCAUUUUUUUCUCUAGAUAUUUUUCUGUUACCUGUUUUAAAUUUAAUUCCAUUGUGGUCAGAGAUAAUACUUUGUAUGACUUGCAUUCUUUUAUGUAUAUUGAGACUUGUUAUAAGGCACAGAGUAUGGUUUAUCUUGGUAAUCAUUCGUGGCACACUUAAAAAUCAUGUGUUUUCUGCUAUUGUUGAGUGGGAUGUUCUGUAACUGUGAAUUAGGUCAAGUUAGUUGACAGUGUUGUUCAAGUCUUUUAUAUUAUUACUGACUUUCUUUCUACUCACUCUAUCAAUUAGUGAAAGGUGUCAAUAUUUCCAGUUAUAAUCAUGGAUUUGUCUAUUAUUACUUUCAGUUAGAAAUUUCUAGCUGAAAUUAUCUAUUUCUACUUUCAGUUAGUGUUAGCUUGCUAUAUCUUUUUUCCAUCCUUCUUCUUUUAACCCAAUGUAUCUUUAUAUUGACAUUACAUAUAUGAUUUAUAUUAUAUUAUGUUACUAUAUCUUGUAUGCAGCAUAUAUUUGGAUCUUUUUUAUCCAAUCUGAUGAUCUUUGCUUUUUAAUUAAUGUAUUUAGAUCAUUUACAUUUACUGUGAUUAUUAAUAUGUAUUAAGUUCAAAUCUACCACUUUGGUAUUGAAUAUCUAAUUGUCCCAUUUGUUCUUUGUUUCAAAAAAACUCUUUUUUUGCCUUUUUUUAUAUCAAGUAUUUUAAAAUUCUAUUUCAUCUUCUUUGUUUGCUUAUUAGCUAUAACUUUAUUUUGCUAAUUUAGUGGUUGCUUUAGGGUUUAUAGUAAACAUCUUCAACUUAUCACAUUCUAUGUUCUAGUCAUAUUAUAUUAUUUAACACAUAGUAUAAAAACUUUAUUGUAGUAUACUUUCAUUUUCCUCCAGUAAUUGUGCGAUUCUUGUCAUCUAUUUUGCUUCUACAUGUUAUAAACUCUACAUGAUUUUGUAAUAUUUUUGUUUAAACAAUAUUUAUUUAGACUUAAUAAUAAAUAAUAAAAAUAUAUGCUAACCACGUAGUUAUAAUUUCUAGUGUUGUUCAUUUCUUUGUGUAGAUCCAUAUUUCCACCUGCUAUCGUUUUCCUUCUGCCCGAAGGUGCUGGUGAUGAAUUUUUUCAGCUUUGGUAUACUUAAAAAACUUUUUUUAUUUUUGAAAAUAUUUUUUGUUAGGUAUGAAAUUCUAUGUUGACUUUUUUUUCUUUCAGUAUUUUAAGAAUGCUACUCCAUUGUCUUCUUGCUGGCAUUAUUUCCAGAGGAAGAAAAAUCUUUAAGAUUUUCUCUUUUUACAGACUUUGAGUAAUUUUACUACAUUAUAAUUUGGUGUGGUUUUCUUCAUGUUCCUUCGGCUUGAAGUUCAUUGAGAUUCUUCAAUCUGUGAAUUUAUAGCUUUUUAUCUACUUGAAAAAGGUUUAGCCAUUAUUUCUUUAAAAAGUCAUUGUCUCAUCUUUCCCCUCUUUGGAAAUUUCAAUUACGGGUAUAUUAGGUCAUUUGAUGUUGUUCCACACAUCAAUGAUGCUCUGUUGUUUUUGUUAUUUUCUCUUGUUUUGAGUCAUUUUUUCUUCUGCGUUUUACUUUAGAUAGUUUAUCUUGCGAUGUCUUUAACUCACCAGUCUUUCCUUUUGCAAUGUUUAAUAUUUUGAUUGUUUGAUUUUUUUCCUUCUCACUAUGGUUCAUAUUUUCCUGCUUCUUUAAAUGCCUGAUAAUUUUUUAUUGGAUGCUAGACAUUGUGGAUUUUACCUUGUUGAGCUCUGGAUACUUUUUGCUUUCUUUUGAAUAUCUUGAGCUUUUUUUCUGGAAUACAAUUGUGUUAUUUGCAGACAGUUUGAUCCUUUUAGGUCUGGAUUUUAAGAUUUGUUAAAAAGGACCAGAACAGUGUUCAGUCUAGUGCUAAUUAUUCAAACUACUGAGCUAAAUCCCUUCUAAAUACUCUACCCAAUGCUAGGUGAAUUACAUUUUUUUGUAGUUUAAUGGUGAGUACAGGCACCAUUACCUGCCUUAUGUGAGUUCCAGACACUGCUCCUUCCAAGUCUUUAGGGAAGUUCUUUCCCCAACUUUGGGCAGUUUCUUCACAAACAUGCUCUGAUUACUGCUCUGUUGAAUAAAUAAAGGAAAAUCUCUACAGAUCUCUGUGUGCAGAUGCCCUCUCUAGUAUGCUUCCCAGUAAACUCCAGCCACUUUCAUCUAUUCAGAUUUUUAGCUUUGACUCCUCAACUUGGUGACUCUACUGUGAUCUCCAACCCCAGGUCAUGGCCUGGAAUCUCUUGUAAGGCAGAACUGUGAAACAACCCUGCCUUACCUGAUUUAUUUUCUUUUCUCUCAUAGAUCACUGUGUUUCAUUGCUGAUGUCCAGUGUAUUGAAAACCAUUAUUUCACAUAUUUUUUUCUGUUUUGUUUGCUUCAGGUUGAUCCUGAGAUCUUGUUCCCGAUCUUCCAUUUUUGCAAAGACUGAAGGUUCAAUCUAUUUUUUAGACCAUUAUUUUUGUUCUGUCAUACCUCAGGGUCGGAACUGCAACUUGCUCCGGAGGGCACGGGCUCCGUAGUCACCAACUGCAAGGCCCCCUCCCCCUGCGGGCGCUCCCCUGGCACAAUUCGCGUUCGAGAGUGACCUGCACUCGCUGCUUCAACUGGAUGCACCCAUCCCCAAUGCACCCCCUGCUCGCUGGCAGCGCAAAGCCAAGAAAGCCACAGGCCCGGCCCCCUCACCCAUGCGGGCCGCCAACCGAUCCCACAGCGCCAGCAGGACUCCGGGCCGAACUCCUGGCAAAUCCAGUUCCAAGGUUCAGACCACUCCUAGCAAACCUGGCGGUGACCGCUAUAUCCCCCAUCGCAGUGCUGCCCAGAUGGAGGUUGCCAGCUUCCUCCUGAGCAAGGAGAACCAGCCUGAAAACAGCCAGACGCCCACCAAGAAGGAACAUCAGAAAGCCUGGACUUUGAACCUGAACGGUUUUGAUGUAGAGGAAGCCAAGAUCCUUCGGCUCAGUGGAAAACCACAAAAUGCGCCAGAGGGUUACCAGAACAGACUGAAAGUACUCUACAGCCAAAAGGCCACUCCUGGCUCCAGCCGGAAGACCUACCAUUACAUUCCUUCCCUGCCAGACCAUAACCUGGAUGCCCCUGAAAUCCGAAAUGACUACUACCUGAAUCUUGUGGACUGGAGCUCUGGGAAUGUAUUGGCCGUGGCGCUGGACAACAGUGUGUACCUGUGGAGCGCAAGCUCUGGUGACAUCCUGCAGCUUUUGCAAAUGGAGCAGACUGGGAAAUAUGUAUCCUCUGCGGCCUGGAUCAAAGAGGGCAACUACUUGGCUGUGGGCAUCAGCAGUGCUGAGGUGCAGCUUUGGGAUGUGCAGCAGCAGAAACGGCUUCGAAAUAUGACCAUUCACUCUGCCCGAGUGGGCUCCCUAAGCUGGAACAGCUAUAUCCUAUCCAGUGGUUCACAUUCUGGCCACAUCCACCACCAUGAUGUUCGGGUAGCAGAACACCACGUGGCCACACUGAGUGGCCACAGCCAGGAAGUGUGUGGGCUGCGCUGGGUCCCAGAUGGACGACAUUUGGCCAGUGGUGGCAAUGAUAACUUGGUCAAAGUGUGGCCUAGUGCUCUUGGAGAGGGUGGCUGGGUUCCUCUGCAGACAUUCACCCUUCAAGGGGCUGUCAAGGCCGUAGCAUGGUGUCCCUGGAAGUCCAAUGUCCCGGCAACAGGAGGGGGCACCAGUGAUCGACACAUUUGCAUCUGGAACGUGUGCUCUGGGGCCUGUCUGAGUGCCGUGGAUGCCCUUUCCCAGGUGUGCUCCACCCUCUGGUCUCCCCACUACAAGGAGCUCAUCUCAGGCCAUGGCUUUGCACAGAACCAGCUGGUUAUUUGGAAGUACCCAACCAUGGCCAAGGUGGCUGAACUCAAAGGUCACACAUCCCGGGUCCUGACUCUGACCAUGAGCCCAGAUGGGGCCACAGUGGCAUCUGCAGCAGCAGAUGAGACCCCGAGGCUAUGGCACUGUUUUGAGUUGGACCCUGUGUGGCGGCGGGAGCGGGAGAAGGCCAGUGCAGCCAAAAGCAGCUUCAUCCACCAAGGCAUCCGCUGAAGACCAACCCCUCGCCUCAGUUGUUUUUUAUUUUUCUAAUAAAGUCAUGUCUCCCUUCAAAAAAAAAAAAAACAAAACUGCUGUGUAAUUACAGAAUUGUAUUCAAUCCUGUUUUAAUAAAUAAGAGACAAUUUACAAUAACUCACUUGCAGCAACGUGCUUUGAAUCAUUUCAGAGAAGAAGGACAGAAGAGAUUGGUUGACACCACAGUGUGAUUAAAAAAAUAGGAGUCAGUGGUAUUUAUGAAAUGAAUAAAUAAAGCACAUGCCCACCCCCAUUAACCCACUGCAUGGUCAAGUUCUUAGGGAGGUGAUGAGGCAACCUCUCCAAUAUUCCCAUUAUAGAGCUCCACUAACAUUCUGCUUGGUGAUGACAAAGUUGCAUUUAGAUUGGUUGAUAGUUGGUAUUGAGCCCAAAACCAGGGUUGAAGUUGUUCCAGGGAGAGGCUGGAUUGAGGCACAAUGUACAGCUAACGUUAACCUCCUCCUGACUUGACCACCCCAGCAGAAGGGCCUUGACACAAACCCGGUGUAUCUGCUGAGUGGGCAAAUACAAGGAGCGAUCCAGGCUGUAGUUGCAUGGCCUGAGCAGCAAUGCAAGGAGGACCUUCCUUUUGCCUUUAAGCCUCCUCUUCCAGAGAAACUUCUACCAGUGACCUGGCAGUGAGACUUGUGUUUCAUGUAGUGAUGAAUGUUUUAGACCUCCAGACUCUUGUUCUACUGAAGAACCUCCCUCCAGGGUCCUGCGUUGAACUGGCCUUGCUGCAGACUUCCUGAGUUUGUCAGCAGUAAAGGUAACAGUACCCAGAAUGGAGCAUUCUAGCCAAUGGUUAAAAGUCCUGGUAUUUUCUCCACAAAGUGAUGAUAAGAAAGGGGGUUGACCCCUCAGUCAUAUCAAAAAUGUUUAGAGGUCACUGGGUAGACAUGAAAGACAACCUGUUGAAAAUUUAGAUGGAGGUCUGGAGUCAUCAUACAAGCAGAGGAAAAAGACUGAAAAGAAAUAAUGUCAGAAUGUUAAUGAUAUGGUGAUGUUAGAGGUGAUUUUAGUUUUUUUCUUUGUGCUUUUCAGUGUGAAUUCUCUAAAAUGAGCAUUUUUUAAACAAGAAAAAAAUGUUAAAAUAGGCACCAAAAACCUGAAUACAAUAAAAUACUUUUAAAUAAGUUCACACUCAUAUCUAGAAACUCUAAGCAAAUCUAGGUUGCCAACAGUCACAAAAGGUAAUUCUAUUUAGGUUAAAAAUGUGAGCUACGACUAUCUCCCUU